Molecule: ribosomal RNA, 326 nt
Filed under: uncultured eukaryote
Lineage: Eukaryota
Description: partial 18S ribosomal RNA
Rfam family: Eukaryotic small subunit ribosomal RNA
Source: RNAcentral
CCCUUAGAUGUUCUGGGCUGCACGCGCGCUACACUGUUGCAUUCAGCGAGUUUUAACCAAGGCCGAAAGGUCAAGGUAAUCUUUGAAAGUGCAACGUGCUUGGGCUAGAUGAUUGCAAUUAUUCAUCUUAAACGAGGAAUGCCUAGUAAACGCAUGUCAUCAGCGUGCAUUGAUUACGUCCCUGCCCUUUGUACACACCGCCCGUCGCUCCUACCGAUUGGAUGAUCCGGUGAGGCUUUGGGAUCUGAGCGGAAAGAGCGUUUCGCUGUUUCUGCUCGGAAAACUCAGUCGAACCUUAUCAUUUAGAGGAAGGAGAAGUCGUAACA